This 668-nucleotide long non-coding RNA is filed under the name Homo sapiens (human). RNAcentral's name for it is "HSALNT0323182". The record is from RNAcentral. Lineage: Eukaryota; Metazoa; Chordata; Mammalia; Primates; Hominidae.
CAUGCCUUCUGCAGUGUUCUAUGAGUCAUAUGGUUCAUCCUGAUUUAGGCUGUAAGCAGAUUGCAUCAUGGCGCGGAUACCAGGAGGUGGGGAUCAUGGGGGUCCAUCCUAGAGGCUGACCCAAGCAGAGGAAAGGAGAUAAUUACUGGAACAAUGUCUCCCCAUAGGCAUGAGUAUAUGGAAUUUAGUGCAAAAGGAGAGGAAAUAGCCUUUGUUAGGGACACAGAGGGAUCUUUGAUAGUAAUAGUAUAUAGGUGCAGUUAGAGGAGUCCAUUUUGUGUUGCUCUAGAGGAACAUCUGAGGCUGCGCAAUCUCUAAGGAAAAGAGGUUUAUUUGGCUCACUGCUCUGUGGGCUGUACAAGAAGCAUGGCACCAGCAUCUGCUCCUGGUGAGAGGCUCAGGCUGCUUCCACUCAUGGCAGAAGCUUGCUCUGGCUAACAACCACUAUCAUCAAAGUUGUCUGAGGAAGACCUCCUGUUGCUGUGACUGACGGGACUCUUGGUGGAAGCCCUAUUCCCAUGUGCCCAUGGCUGCAGCUCCCCAAGGAAGCAGGACAUUGUUGGAUUCUCUAAGAAGCUCAGAGGAAGUUACUUCUCACUGUGGUGCCAUAUGGGAUUUGAAGUCGUUCUACUCAUGCUCUGUUUUUCAAUAAAGCUGCUUCUGCCUCU